GGUUGUGGCUCAGUGGUAGAGCAUACGCUUUGAACGUGUGAGGCACUGGGUUCGAUCCUAAGCACCA
RNAcentral lists this transfer RNA (67 nucleotides) under Marmota monax (woodchuck). RNAcentral's name for it is "tRNA.Ser". It matches the Rfam family "tRNA". Rfam says of the family: Transfer RNA (tRNA) molecules are approximately 80 nucleotides in length. Their secondary structure includes four short double-helical elements and three loops (D, anti-codon, and T loops). Lineage: Eukaryota; Metazoa; Chordata; Mammalia; Rodentia; Sciuridae. The record is from RNAcentral.